Molecule: ribosomal RNA, 239 nt
Filed under: uncultured bacterium
Lineage: Bacteria
Description: partial 16S ribosomal RNA
Rfam family: Bacterial small subunit ribosomal RNA
Source: RNAcentral
UACGAGGGGGGCAAAUGUUGUUCGGAAUCACUGGGCGUAAAGGGAGCGUAGGCGGGUUCUAAGUCAGGUGUUUAAUCCCGGGGCCCCAACCCCGGACAGGCACUUGAAACUGGGAAUCUUGAAUAGUGGAGAGGUCAGUGGAAUUGGGGGUGUAGCGGUGGAAUGCGUAGAGAUCCCCAAGAACACCAGUUGCGAAGGCGGCUGACUGGACACAUAUUGACGCUGAGGCUCGAAGCAUG